This 65-nucleotide transfer RNA is filed under the name Argas walkerae. Its description in RNAcentral is "tRNA-Ile". Lineage: Eukaryota; Metazoa; Arthropoda; Arachnida; Ixodida; Argasidae. The record is from RNAcentral.
GAUAAAAUGCCUGAUGAAAAGGAUUAUCUUGAUAGGAUAAAUAAUGUGUACUUCCACUUUUAUUA